GACGAACGCUGGCGGCGUGCUUAACACUUGCAAGUCGAACGGAAAGGCCCUGCUUUUGUGGGGUGCUCGAGUGGCGAACGGGUGAGUAACACGUGAGUAACCUGCCCUUGACUUUGGGAUAACUUCAGGAAACUGGGGCUAAUACCGGAUAGGAGCUCCUGCUGCAUGGUGGGGGUUGGAAAGUUUCGGCGGUUGGGGAUGGACUCGCGGCUUAUCAGCUUGUUGGUGGGGUAGUGGCUUACCAAGGCUUUGACGGGUAGCCGGCCUGAGAGGGUGACCGGCCACAUUGGGACUGAGAUACGGCCCAGACUCCUACGGGAGGCAGCAGUGGGGAAUAUUGCACAAUGGGCGGAGGCCUGAUGCAGCAACGCCGCGUGCGGGAUGACGGCCUUCGGGUUGUAAACCGCUUUCGCCUGUGACGAAGCGUGAGUGACGGUAAUGGGUAAAGAAGCACCGGCUAACUACGUG
This 468-nucleotide ribosomal RNA is filed under the name uncultured bacterium. RNAcentral's name for it is "partial 16S ribosomal RNA". It matches the Rfam family "Bacterial small subunit ribosomal RNA", at positions 28 to 507 of the family's 1533-position model. The record is from RNAcentral.